Solea senegalensis (Senegalese sole) is the source of this 1088-nucleotide long non-coding RNA. RefSeq lists it as uncharacterized. The record is from RefSeq and is a predicted model, not a curated record. NCBI's taxonomy places the organism in Eukaryota, Metazoa, Chordata, Actinopteri, Pleuronectiformes, Soleidae. The transcript has 3 exons.
GUUAUUUCUUUCAAUUGCGUCUUCUGCAUUUUGUUUUGCCCUAGGACAUGUUGUUCUCAAUGUGUGUUUGUUACUAUUGUCAUUACCGCUUGAUAACUCAUUGUAUGUCGCAAGCUGCCGAUAAACAAACAAACGCACCCAGACGUUAUUACCUUUUACGAUGCUCGUGGUAUUUUUCUUAUUUUCGGUUUUUAAGGUAGCAUUAGCUCGCUAGCAUUACUACAGUAGACCACCAGGUAGCCCUAUACUGCUCCCUGUUGGAUUUAAUUCAGCGAAUAAAUACAAGAAGCCAUCUUUACAUUUGACCGUCUGCAACAGUAUUCCUACAGUUGACCCUCCAUCUGAAACAACAAACUAUGGCGGCAGCAACCAAGAAGCUUCGCAAACUCGCACAAAGAGAAGGAAAUGCUGGCACUUGUUGAGUCUGAACGGCAAAGCACUUUUGAGAUCAUGACCGGAAACCCUGCCAGAGUGAAAUGUCUGAAAAAGAUGUCAAGUUUGUCUGCACCUGAAUUAGAAAGUGUUGCACUUCAGAUGUAGACCUACAAAUACAACCUCUAUGUUCAUGAAUGCAGAGGUUCAGUAGAAAUGACACAUUAUAACUUUGUCAUCCCAAGGUUAACAAGAGUUUUUAAUCAAUUAUUUUGUAGUUCCAAAUAAUCACAGAGGAGGUUCCGGACCUCUUUGACAUGACUUUGGUCCAAACUGGUCUAUGAGUGUUUUACUUCCUGUAUUUUUUUUUCCAGCCAGUGACUUUUUGUCAAUCAGUCUUCUGUAUGUAUAUAAAAUAUAGUGCACUGCAUACACAUUAUAGUCCAGUCGAAAUGAAAACAUGCAGUACCGUUUUAUAUCUUAAUUUAUACACUAUUUAUACACUUAUCAUGUGAAGUGUAUAAUUUACCACCUGCAGCCAUUUCCAAGACAUAAUUCUCCAACAUUUUUUUUUUAAUAAUUAAAACAAGCUCUGAGAUUUUGAAAUUAUGUGACUGAAAGUCGUAUAGCAAACUGUGAAUGAGUUUAACUCAUACAGCACAUGCAUGUAAUGCUUCAGCCUCAUGUCUUAUGUAUUGAAUAAACCUGGCAUAAUA